Molecule: ribosomal RNA, 253 nt
Filed under: uncultured bacterium
Lineage: Bacteria
Description: partial 16S ribosomal RNA
Rfam family: Bacterial small subunit ribosomal RNA
Source: RNAcentral
UACGGAGGGGGCUAGCGUUGUUCGGAAUUACUGGGCGUAAAGCGCACGUAGGCGGCUUUGUAAGUUAGAGGUGAAAGCCUGGAGCUCAACUCCAGAAUUGCCUUUGAGACUGCGUCGCUCGAAUCCGGGAGAGGCGGGUGGAAUUCCGAGUGUAGAGGUGAAAUUCGUAGAUAUUCGGAAGAACACCAGUGGCGAAGGCGGCCCGCUGGACCGGCAUUGACGCUGAGGUGCGAAAGCGUGGGGAGCAAACAGG